Molecule: ribosomal RNA, 254 nt
Filed under: uncultured bacterium
Lineage: Bacteria
Description: partial 16S ribosomal RNA
Rfam family: Bacterial small subunit ribosomal RNA
Source: RNAcentral
CACGUAGGGGGCAAGCGUUGUCCGGAUUUAUUGGGCGUAAAGAGCUCGUAGGCGGUUCGGCAAGUCGGGUGUGAAAUUUCGAGGCUCAACCUCGAAACGCCACUCGAUACUGCUGUGACUGGAGUCCGGUAGAGGAGUGCGGAAUUCCUGGUGUAGCGGUGAAAUGCGCAGAUAUCAGGAGGAACACCGGUGGCGAAGGCGGGUCUCUGGGCCGAAAUUGACGCUGAGGAGCGAAAGCGUGGGGAGCAAACAGG